GGAGGGUGCGAGCGUUGUCCGGAAUCAUUGGGCGUAAAGGGCGCGUAGGUGGCCCGGUGAGUCUUUGGUGAAAGCGCGGGGCUCAACCCUGCGUCGGCCAGGGAUACUGCCGCGGCUCGAGCACUGUAGAGGCAGGCGGAAUUCCGGGUGUAGCGGUGGAAUGCGUAGAGAUCCGGAAGAACACCGGUGGCGAAGGCGGCCUGCUGGGCAGUGGCUGACGCUGAGGCGCGACAGCGUGGGGAGCAAACAGGAUUAGAUACCCUGGUAGUCCACGCCGUAAACGAUGGGCACUAGGCGCUUGGGGGAGAGACCCCUCGAGGGCCGGCGCUAACGCAUUAAGUGCCCCGCCUGGGGAGUACGGCCGCAAGGCUG
Molecule: ribosomal RNA, 372 nt
Filed under: uncultured bacterium
Lineage: Bacteria
Description: bacterial SSU rRNA
Rfam family: Bacterial small subunit ribosomal RNA
Source: RNAcentral